CACCAGACUCCUACGGGAGGCAGCAGUGGGGGAUAUUGCACAAUGGGGGGAACCCUGAUGCAGCGACGCCGCGUGGGUGAAGGAGUGCUUCGGCAUGUAAAGCCCUAUCGGCAGGGAAGAAGCAAGACGGUACCUGACUAAGAAGCCCCGGCUAACUACGUGCCAGCAGCCGCGGUAAUACGGAGGAUGCGAGCGUUAUCCGGAUUUAUUGGGUUUAAAGGGUGCGCAGGCGGGGGGGCAAGUCAGCGGGCAAAGUGCGGGGCUCAACCCCGGUCUGCCGUUGAAACUGGAUCCCGUGAGGGCGCGAGAAGGAUGCGGGAUGCGUGGUGUAGCGGGGAAAUGCAUAGAUAUCACGCAGAGCGCCGAGUGCGAAGGCAGC
RNAcentral lists this ribosomal RNA (379 nucleotides) under uncultured bacterium. Its description in RNAcentral is "bacterial SSU rRNA". It matches the Rfam family "Bacterial small subunit ribosomal RNA", at positions 329 to 725 of the family's 1533-position model. The record is from RNAcentral.